RNAcentral lists this ribosomal RNA (450 nucleotides) under uncultured bacterium. Its description in RNAcentral is "partial 16S ribosomal RNA". It matches the Rfam family "Bacterial small subunit ribosomal RNA", at positions 354 to 796 of the family's 1533-position model. The record is from RNAcentral.
GUGGGGAAUCUUGCGCAAUGGGCGCAAGCCUGAUCCAGCCAUGCCGCGUGCAGGAUGAAGGCCUUCGGGUUGUAAACUGCUUUUGUACGGAACGAAACGGCUCUUUCUAAUAAAGAGGGCUAAUGACGGUACCGUAAGAAUAAGCACCGGCUAACUACGUGCCAGCAGCCGCGGUAAUACGUAGGGUGCGAGCGUUAAUCGGAAUUACUGGGCGUAAAGCGUGCGCAGGGGGUGAUGUAAGACAGAUGUGUAAUCCCCGGGCUCAACCUGGGAACUGCAUUUGUGACUGCAUCGCUGGAGUUCGGCAGAGGGGGAUGGAAUUCCGCGUGUAGCAGUGAAAUGCGUAGAUAUGCGGAGGAACACCGAUGGCGAAGGCAAUCCCCUGGGCCUGCACUGACGCUCAUGCACGAAAGCGUGGGGAGCAAACAGGAUUAGAAACCCGGGUAGUCC